This 130-nucleotide ribosomal RNA is filed under the name Pseudomonas aeruginosa. RNAcentral's name for it is "partial 16S ribosomal RNA". The stretch from base 41 to 130 matches the Rfam family "Bacterial small subunit ribosomal RNA", at positions 1 to 89 of the family's 1533-position model. Lineage: Bacteria; Pseudomonadati; Pseudomonadota; Gammaproteobacteria; Pseudomonadales; Pseudomonadaceae. The record is from RNAcentral.
UGAGCCAAGUUUAGGGUUUUCUCAAAACCCAAGCAGUAUUGAACUGAAGAGUUUGAUCAUGGCUCAGAUUGAACGCUGGCGGCAGGCCUAACACAUGCAAGUCGAGCGGAUGAAGGGAGCUUGCUCCUGG